RNAcentral lists this ribosomal RNA (1854 nucleotides) under Escherichia coli. RNAcentral describes it as "partial 23S ribosomal RNA". It matches the Rfam family "Bacterial large subunit ribosomal RNA", at positions 1105 to 2925 of the family's 2925-position model. Lineage: Bacteria; Pseudomonadati; Pseudomonadota; Gammaproteobacteria; Enterobacterales; Enterobacteriaceae. The record is from RNAcentral.
CUUAGAAGCAGCCAUCAUUUAAAGAAAGCGUAAUAGCUCACUGGUCGAGUCGGCCUGCGCGGAAGAUGUAACGGGGCUAAACCAUGCACCGAAGCUGCGGCAGCGACACUAUGUGUUGUUGGGUAGGGGAGCGUUCUGUAAGCCUGUGAAGGUGUACUGUGAGGUAUGCUGGAGGUAUCAGAAGUGCGAAUGCUGACAUAAGUAACGAUAAAGCGGGUGAAAAGCCCGCUCGCCGGAAGACCAAGGGUUCCUGUCCAACGUUAAUCGGGGCAGGGUGAGUCGACCCCUAAGGCGAGGCCGAAAGGCGUAGUCGAUGGGAAACAGGUUAAUAUUCCUGUACUUGGUGUUACUGCGAAGGGGGGACGGAGAAGGCUAUGUUGGCCGGGCGACGGUUGUCCCGGUUUAAGCGUGUAGGCUGAUUUUCCAGGCAAAUCCGGAAAAUCAAGGCUGAGGCGUGAUGACGAGGCACUACGGUGCUGAAGCAACAAAUGCCCUGCUUCCAGGAAAAGCCUCUAAGCAUCAGGUAACAUCAAAUCGUACCCCAAACCGACACAGGUGGUCAGGUAGAGAAUACCAAGGCGCUUGAGAGAACUCGGGUGAAGGAACUAGGCAAAAUGGUGCCGUAACUUCGGGAGAAGGCACGCUGAUAUGUAGGUGAAGCGACUUGCUCGUGGAGCUGAAAUCAGUCGAAGAUACCAGCUGGCUGCAACUGUUUAUUAAAAACACAGCACUGUGCAAACACGAAAGUGGACGUAUACGGUGUGACGCCUGCCCGGUGCCGGAAGGUUAAUUGAUGGGGUUAGCGGUAACGCGAAGCUCUUGAUCGAAGCCCCGGUAAACGGCGGCCGUAACUAUAACGGUCCUAAGGUAGCGAAAUUCCUUGUCGGGUAAGUUCCGACCUGCACGAAUGGCGUAAUGAUGGCCAGGCUGUCUCCACCCGAGACUCAGUGAAAUUGAACUCGCUGUGAAGAUGCAGUGUACCCGCGGCAAGACGGAAAGACCCCGUGAACCUUUACUAUAGCUUGACACUGAACAUUGAGCCUUGAUGUGUAGGAUAGGUGGGAGGCUUUGAAGUGUGGACGCCAGUCUGCAUGGAGCCGACCUUGAAAUACCACCCUUUAAUGUUUGAUGUUCUAACGUUGGCCCGUUAUCCGGGUUGCGGACAGUGUCUGGUGGGUAGUUUGACUGGGGCGGUCUCCUCCUAAAGAGUAACGGAGGAGCACGAAGGUUGGCUAAUCCUGGUCGGACAUCAGGAGGUUAGUGCAAUGGCAUAAGCCAGCUUGACUGCGAGCGUGACGGCGCGAGCAGGUGCGAAAGCAGGUCAUAGUGAUCCGGUGGUUCUGAAUGGAAGGGCCAUCGCUCAACGGAUAAAAGGUACUCCGGGGAUAACAGGCUGAUACCGCCCAAGAGUUCAUAUCGACGGCGGUGUUUGGCACCUCGAUGUCGGCUCAUCACAUCCUGGGGCUGAAGUAGGUCCCAAGGGUAUGGCUGUUCGCCAUUUAAAGUGGUACGCGAGCUGGGUUUAGAACGUCGUGAGACAGUUCGGUCCCUAUCUGCCGUGGGCGCUGGAGAACUGAGGGGGGCUGCUCCUAGUACGAGAGGACCGGAGUGGACGCAUCACUGGUGUUCGGGUUGUCAUGCCAAUGGCACUGCCCGGUAGCUAAAUGCGGAAGAGAUAAGUGCUGAAAGCAUCUAAGCACGAAACUUGCCCCGAGAUGAGUUCUCCCUGACUCCUUGAGAGUCCUGAAGGAACGUUGAAGACGACGACGUUGAUAGGCCGGGUGUGUAAGCGCAGCGAUGCGUUGAGCUAACCGGUACUAAUGAACCGUGAGGCUUAACCUUACAACGCCGAAG